RNAcentral lists this long non-coding RNA (205 nucleotides) under Elaeis guineensis (African oil palm). Its description in RNAcentral is "long non-coding RNA (EGUI_LNC011228)". The record is from RNAcentral. Lineage: Eukaryota; Viridiplantae; Streptophyta; Magnoliopsida; Arecales; Arecaceae.
CGGGAUGCUGGAGGCGGAAGCUGGACCGCGAUGCUGGAUGCGAGUGAGCGUCGAGCGGGGGGCCUCCUGGGGGCGGGGGCCUAAGGCAAGGGCUUCGGUGGCCUUGCCCUUCAGCCGCCCCUGGUAGGGAGCAUGGGCCUGGUGAAUGGCCUAUCGACACGAUGUCUGAUUUCUGACGUGAUCUUUUUCAGACCAACCAAUAGAC